Molecule: ribosomal RNA, 468 nt
Filed under: uncultured bacterium
Lineage: Bacteria
Description: partial 16S ribosomal RNA
Rfam family: Bacterial small subunit ribosomal RNA
Source: RNAcentral
GACGAACGCUGGCGGCGUGCUUAACACAUGCAAGUCGAACGGAAAGGCCCUGCUUUUGUGGGGUGCUCGAGUGGCGCACGGGUGUGUCACACGUGUAUAACCUGCCCUUGACUUUGGGAUAACUUCAGGAAACUGGGGCUAAUCCCGGAUAGGAGCCCCUGCUGCGUGGUGGGGGUUGGAAAGUUUCGGCGGUUGGGGGUGGACUCGCGGCUUAUCAGCUUGUUGGUGGGGUAGUGGCUUACCAAGGCUUUGACGGGUAGCCGGCCUGAGAGGGUGCCCGGCCACAUUGGGACGGGGAUACGGCCCAGACUCCUACGGGAGGCAGCAGUGGGGAAUAUUGCACAAUGGGCGGAAGCCUGAUGCAGCAACGCCGCGGGCGGGAUGACGGCCUUCGGGUUGUAAACCGCUUUCGCCUGUGACGAAGCGUGAGUGACGGUAAUGGGUAAAGAAGCACCGGCUAACUACGUG